GGCGCGGCGGUCACUCGCGAACCUCGGCGAGGAUCCAGCGACGCGGAGCCGGCCGGAGGAGCGCUUCUCGUCGGAUGAGUGGGAAGACGGAGCCGGUCCUGCCGUUAACCGUCAGCCUCCGACUGCCGCUGAGGCCAACCGCCUGUCUUGGAAAUCGUCUCGUUUUAAACGUGCCGGGGCUCUGGUGCAAACCGUACCUGGAAGCGUGGCGCAAUGGAAAAGCUGUCAUUUCAGGGCUGCGCGAUAGCCCAGUUCCCGGCCUGGAGGUGUUAAAAACUUUCAAAGUAUUUUCGUCCUUAAAAGGGUCUUACAACACAGGAACUGGAGGCCCCAAGCGGUGGUGGGAUCUCCAUCCUUAA
This 359-nucleotide long non-coding RNA is filed under the name Struthio camelus australis. RNAcentral's name for it is "lncRNA (ENSSCUG00000008026.1)". The record is from RNAcentral. Lineage: Eukaryota; Metazoa; Chordata; Aves; Struthioniformes; Struthionidae.